RNAcentral lists this ribosomal RNA (473 nucleotides) under uncultured bacterium. Its description in RNAcentral is "SSU rRNA". It matches the Rfam family "Bacterial small subunit ribosomal RNA", at positions 26 to 518 of the family's 1533-position model. The record is from RNAcentral.
AGGACGAACGCUGGCGGCGUGCUUAACACAUGCAAGUCGAGCGGAAAGGCCCUUCGGGGUACUCGAGCGGCGAACGGGUGAGUAACACGUGAGUAAUCUGCCCCUAGCUCUGGGAUAGCUCCGGGAAACCGGGAUUAAUACCAGAUACGACCACUUUAGACAUCUUCUGUGGUGGAAAGAACUUCGGCUAGGGAUGAACUCGCGGCCUAUCAGCUUGUUGGUGAGGUAACGGCUCACCAAGGCGACGACGGGUAGCCGGCCUGAGAGGGCGACCGGCCACACUGGGACUGAGACACGGCCCAGACUCCUACGGGAGGCAGCAGUGGGGAAUAUUGCGCAAUGGGCGAAAGCCUGACGCAGCGACGCCGCGUGGGGGAUGAAGGCCUUCGGGUUGUAAACCCCUUUCAGCAGGACGAAGCGAAAGUGACGGUACCUGCAGAAGAAGCGCCGGCUAACUACGUGCCAGCAGCCGC